UGAUGGAGCCUGACUACAGGACACAAACCAAUGCUGACUUCAUGAGGGCUGCAUAGCUUACUGUAUGUGAUUAUAUUUGAUUUCAAACAUUAUAAGAUGUUUAUAAUACAGUUAUAAUAAUAUAGGGUGACUUCAGAUGAGAUUGUAACUUUUUUUGUAUUUACUUUUUUCAACCCAGGCUCAUUCUGAAUACAUACCCCUAUAUACAUUUCUGGAGAGCGUCAAAUACGUCCCAGGAGUUCUUCACUAGUCUCAAGUCCGCUGAGGUAUGCGGUGAGCUACUGGACACACUGGUAACAGCAGAAAAGCUGUCUUUACAGAGGGGUCGACACAGCGGAAUGAACCACCAACUAUUCCAGC
Molecule: non-coding RNA, 360 nt
Organism: Danio rerio (zebrafish)
Lineage: Eukaryota; Metazoa; Chordata; Actinopteri; Cypriniformes; Danionidae
Source: RefSeq, a predicted model, not a curated record